CACGAAAUGGCACCAUAAGUCCUGUUUUGACUUCUAUCCAGUUCAAAGAGACAGUUGUGUAUUCAUGUGACAGCGGAUAUCAUCUGGCUGGUAAAGACAGAGCUCUUUGUCAAGCCAGUGGCACUUUGGAUGCUGUGCCCCCGAAGUGUCAAGAUAUCGAUGAGUGUUCAAAUGGUGGUCAUGAUUGCAAUGCACUGGCAUUAUGUCACAAUACCAUUGGCUCAUUUGAAUGUUCCUGCGAGACUGGAUAUUACGGAAAUGGGACAUCUUGUGAAGCUUGUGGAGUUCCGUCAGGACAUUUUAUACAGUCAAUUUCAAGCGAUGGAGCUGUAACCUGCGUUCAUGGUUACGAGGUUGAUCAAGGUAGCACAGCUGAAACCUGUACCAAUACUGCUGGUGUAUGGCAGAAUGCACCUACCU
This is a long non-coding RNA of Sycon ciliatum, 420 nucleotides long. RefSeq lists it as uncharacterized. The record is from RefSeq and is a predicted model, not a curated record. The transcript has 3 exons. NCBI's taxonomy places the organism in Eukaryota, Metazoa, Porifera, Calcarea, Leucosolenida, Sycettidae.